ACCGGCGGGGACAUUUUCAAUCCUGUCCAAGACUUUUCAAGUAUUGCACUUGUCCCGGCCAGC
This 63-nucleotide microRNA precursor is filed under the name Patiria miniata (bat star). RNAcentral's name for it is "Pmi-Mir-92-o25_pre stem-loop". The record is from RNAcentral. Lineage: Eukaryota; Metazoa; Echinodermata; Asteroidea; Valvatida; Asterinidae.